Molecule: ribosomal RNA, 432 nt
Filed under: uncultured bacterium
Lineage: Bacteria
Description: partial 16S ribosomal RNA
Rfam family: Bacterial small subunit ribosomal RNA
Source: RNAcentral
AACGAACGCUGGCGGCAUGCCUAACACAUGCAAGUCGAACGAGACCUUCGGGUCUAGUGGCGCACGGGUGCGUAACGCGUGGGAACCUGCCCUUAGGUUCGGAAUAACUCCCCGAAAGGGGUGCUAAUACCGGAUAAUGUCUUCGGACCAAAGAUUUAUCGCCUUUGGAUGGGCCCGCGUUGGAUUAGCUAGUUGGUAGGGUAAAAGCCUACCAAGGCGACGAUCCAUAGCUGGUCUGAGAGGAUGAUCAGCCACACUGGGACUGAGACACGGCCCAGACUCCUACGGGAGGCAGCAGUGGGGAAUAUUGGACAAUGGGCGAAAGCCUGAUCCAGCAAUGCCGCGUGAGUGAUGAAGGCCUUAGGGUUGUAAAGCUCUUUUACCCGGGAUGAUAAUGACAGUACCGGGAGAAUGAGCUCCGGCUAACUCCGU